Molecule: ribosomal RNA, 400 nt
Filed under: uncultured bacterium
Lineage: Bacteria
Description: bacterial SSU rRNA
Rfam family: Bacterial small subunit ribosomal RNA
Source: RNAcentral
UAAGGAAUCUUCCACAAUGGGGGCAACCCUGAUGGAGCAACGCCGCGUGAAGGAUGAAGGCCCUCGGGUCGUAAACUUCUUUUGUUAGCGAAGAAUAUGACGGUAACUAACGAAUAAGGGUCGGCUAACUACGUGCCAGCAGCCGCGGUCAUACGUAGGACCCAAGCGUUAUCCGGAGUGACUGGGCGUAAAGAGUUGCGUAGGCGGCUCGUUAAGUGAGUAGUGAAACCUGGUGGCUCAACCAUUCAGACUAUUACUCAAACUGGCGUGCUCGAGAAUGGUAGAGGUAGCUGGAAUUUCGUGUGUAGGAGUGAAAUCCGUAGAUAUACGAAGGAACACCAAUGGCGUAGGCAGGCUACUGGACCAUUUCUGACGCUGAGGCACGAAAGCGUGGGGAGCG